GAUGAACGCUGGCGGCGUGCCUAAUACAUGCAAGUCGAGCGAACAGAUGAGGCGCUUGCUCCUCUGACCUUAGCGGCGGACGGGUGAGUAAUACGUGGAUAACCUACCUAUAAGACUGGGAUAACUUCGGGAAACCGGAGCUAAUACCGGAUAAUAUAUUUAACCGCAUGGUUCAAUAGUGAACGACGGAUUUGCGUUCACUUAUUGAUGGAUCCACGUCGCAUUAGCUAGUUGGUAAGGUAACGGCUUACCAAGGCAACGAUGCGUAGCCGACCUGAAAGGGUGAUCGGACGCACUGGAACUGGAACACAGUCCAGACUCCUACGGGAGGAAGCAGUAGGGAAUCUUACGCAAUGGGCGAGAGCCUGACAGAACAACGCCGAGUGGGUGAGGAAGGCCUUGGGUGCGUAAAACUCUGUUACUAGGGAAGAACAAAUGUGUGAGUAACUAUGCAGGUAUUGACGGUACCUAAUCAGAAAGCCACGGCUAACUACGUG
RNAcentral lists this ribosomal RNA (497 nucleotides) under uncultured bacterium. RNAcentral describes it as "partial 16S ribosomal RNA". It matches the Rfam family "Bacterial small subunit ribosomal RNA", at positions 28 to 507 of the family's 1533-position model. The record is from RNAcentral.